RNAcentral lists this ribosomal RNA (671 nucleotides) under uncultured fungus. RNAcentral describes it as "eukaryotic LSU rRNA". It matches the Rfam family "Eukaryotic large subunit ribosomal RNA", at positions 24 to 664 of the family's 3401-position model. The record is from RNAcentral. Lineage: Eukaryota; Fungi.
CCCGCUGAACUUAAGCAUAUCAAUAAGCGGAGGAAAAGAAACUAACAAGGAUUCCCCUAGUAACUGCGAGUGAAGCGGGAAAAGCUCAAAUUUAAAAUCUGGUGGUCUUUGGCCAUCCGAGUUGUAAUUUAGAGAAGCGUCUUCCGCGCUGGACCGUGCACAAGUCUCCUGGAACGGAGCGUCGUAGAGGGUGAGAAUCCCGUCUUUGGCAUGGACACACCAGGGCUUUUGCGAUGCGCUCUCGAAGAGUCGAGUUGUUUGGGAAUGCAGCUCAAAAUGGGUGGUAAAUUCCAUCUAAAGCUAAAUACUGGCGAGAGACCGAUAGCGAACAAGUACCGUGAGGGAAAGAUGAAAAGCACUUUGGAAAGAGAGUUAAACAGUACGUGAAAUUGUUGAAAGGGAAACGUUUGAAGUCAGUCGCGUCGGCCGGGACUCAGCCUUGCUAUCUUGCUUGGUGCACUUCUCGGUCGACGGGUCAGCAUCAAUUUUGACCGUCGGAUAAAGGCCGAGGGAACGUGGCAUCCUCCGGGGUGUGUUAUAGCCCUUGGUUCGCAUACGGCGAUCGGGAUUGAGGAACUCAGCGCGCCUUCAUUGGUCGGGGCUUCGCGGCUCACGUUAACGCGCUUAGGAUGCUGGCAUAAUGGCUUUAAGCGACCCGUCUUGAAACACGG